UGCCUCGGUAGCUCAGUUGGUAGAGCAGAGGACUGAAAAUCCUCGUGUCGGCGGUUCGAUUCCGCCCUGAGGCACC
RNAcentral lists this transfer RNA (76 nucleotides) under Moorella thermoacetica ATCC 39073. RNAcentral's name for it is "tRNA-Phe". It matches the Rfam family "tRNA". Rfam says of the family: Transfer RNA (tRNA) molecules are approximately 80 nucleotides in length. The record is from RNAcentral. Lineage: Bacteria; Bacillati; Bacillota; Clostridia; Neomoorellales; Neomoorellaceae.